AAGGUGAAACCGAAAAACCUUUAAAAUAGAGUAGGAU
Regulatory RNA element from Polaribacter sp. SA4-12, 37 nucleotides. It matches the Rfam family "DUF805b RNA". Rfam says of the family: Bacteroidetes, Chlorobi (1 example), Proteobacteria. Lineage (Flavobacteria) NCBI's taxonomy places the organism in Bacteria, Pseudomonadati, Bacteroidota, Flavobacteriia, Flavobacteriales, Flavobacteriaceae. The record is from Rfam.